UGAAUAAGAACCAAUUAUUUCAUGCGCUUUUCUACACCACGUUUGGCUCUGUGUUUAAGUUCCCCUGGAUCCACAGCUCCUGCUUCGCAGUAGCCAGUGUUGCCUGCACCACCAAGCCAAAUCAGCAGCAAUGCAACAACAGCUGCUAGCUUCACAUACUUGGAUGAUGGCACUCCAUGCUGAAGCACUGGGGUGCAGAAAAGAACAUGGGCGUAGAAUCGACAGUACUGAACCUGGGCCGCCUGCUGUCGGAGAAGAUUCAGGACAUCUUGAAGUCAAA
Molecule: long non-coding RNA, 280 nt
Filed under: Dermacentor andersoni
Lineage: Eukaryota; Metazoa; Arthropoda; Arachnida; Ixodida; Ixodidae
Description: uncharacterized LOC126526841
Source: RNAcentral